CCGCUCAAUCGAUACAAUGCUUUUACUCAUCUAAAAACAACAAUUGUACCUUAUUAUUCUAUUACCUAUUUGUUAUCACUUAUCUAUCCGAUUAAUCUAUUCAUCUAGUGUUGUUGUAUUUACCUAGUGGUAUUAUAGAAGUAUACGUAUUUAUAUAGAAAAAAAAAAAACAAGUGCGACGCAAAAUCGUUUUGUGAGACAUUACCUUCGCAAAAUUGCUUAGGCGACGUCAUAAAGUACUGAUUGCGUAGAAAACAGUGUUGAAUAACUUUGUUGAAUGGAAGUGAAAUUAUAUUGAAGGUGAAGAGUUUGGAAUCGGUGAUUGUGGUGACAAGAUGACUGCGGCACCGGCGGCGUCGUGCAUCAGCACAGACCAUGGCUGUGUUGUGUUCGAUUGCCUCGUCCACCUUUGGGAAUGGCUAGAUCCCCCAGUGACGCAGACGGAAUUCCAAAUGGAGAACAAAAAGCCAGCACCAGCAACGCAGCAACCCCAAACACAACAACACCUUAUGGCCCACCACGUUCACCCAGAUCAGAUUUAUUCCUCUCAACACACACAAUUAACUGCGAAUCUAACAUCAGCGCAAACUGGACAAAUUCAACCGAAUGGCGUCAUGCACCAACUAUUACAAAGCCAAUACCAUUCAAACAUGAAUGCGCGGUCACCGCUCCUAGAAAACAGACACGAACUAUAUGGAACGGGGCACAAUCAAGACUAUGCGAGGCACUAUGGGGCGAAUGAUAAUUAUAAUUACCCCCAGUCACCUCCAAGGCAGGAAAGAACCGAUAUGCAUACUGAUCAUAAUGUCAAUCAUGAAUUACUACACAAUAUUCCUAAAGGAUAUAAUGCGGAAGUCUAUCAGGAUUAUUUGAAACGGAACCCACCGAAAGAUGCCAAUCAAAUAUACCAAAAUCAUCAGCCUAUGUAUAAACCUAAUGUGAACCAAUACGGUUCAAAGCCAUAUCUACCAUAUUCAAAUAGGAUAGGACCACAAAGUAAUACUGAGUUAUUGCGAAGACAAUACAAUGAAAUUCAACAAAUGAAGAUGCAACAACAAUUACAUUACCAAAACCAGGCACAAAUGCAUCAACAGCAAAAGUUUGCUGAACGACAAUUGCUGCUCCAACAAAUCCAUGGAGUUCAUCCUCCGCCUAAUUUGCAAAAUAGUAUAUAUUCGUCUGACAGUUUUUUUAGAGAUUUAGAUCGGUAUAGUAAAAAUGAUUUUAAAGACUAUAGUAGUCCCGACAUACAAAAAGAUAUUGAAAUGUAUAGUAAAAGUAAUGAAAUCGAGAAACAACAAAAUAGGCAAUAUCAGGAAUCUCAAUGGCAAGCAAACCAGCCAAGUGAUUUUAGAGAAAACGAAAAAUUUAGAAGACAGUCAGAAGGCGAUAAAGGAAUGACUCAAUCUCCACCUUCUGAGUAUAACAAUCAACACGAAAGAAGUAACGUGGGUGUGGUAUCGCCAAUGAAAUCUAGUGAAUCAAGUACCCCUAGCAUUAAGUCCCCUUCAUCUGAAAGCCGUAGAAGUAGUAGUGGAAAUCAGGCAUUAAGAUCUCCUAUAGCUCAAAGAAUCCCUUCAGCUCCUGUAACAAUGUCUGGCAUUUUAUAUAAACAAGGUUCUGAUGGACUAAAAGUAUGGAGAAAGAGGUGGUUCGUGUUGUCAGAGUACUGUUUAUUUUAUUAUAAAAGCCAGGAUGAAGAAAAGCUGUUGGGAUCGGUGCUUUUACCUUCUUACAAAGUCUCUGCGUGUUCAAGCGACGACAAAGUAUUGAGAAAAUUUUCAUUCAAGUUAGAACAUGCUAACAUGAGGACGUAUGUUUUGGCAGCACCAGAUCAAGAGGCUAUGUUGAAGUGGGUGAAGGCGCUAACCAUGGCUGCAUUGAUGCAAAAUCCAAACGAACAACCACAAAAACAGACCGAGAGGGCAGCUGCAAAAAUAGAGGAUGGUGACGAAGUACCUGGACCAACAUAUGCUAAUGCUCCACCAAAACCGAGACGAUCCAAUGAAGGAUAUAACUCACCUAGUCCUGAUAUGUAUGAUCCCAAUUACGAUAUACUCAAAAAGCCAGCAUCACACUAUAGUCAGAGCACUAGUCACAUUCGUUCUCAGGAUCACACAAAUUAUACAAGUAGUCCAAAUCAGGAGAGCACAUACACUCGUAGCCCGCAGUCUCCACCAUCAGCACAGCAGCAACCUCAGUACCAGAUGAAACGACCCUACGACACGCAACACCUUUCUCUACCAUUAACAAAUACCGUUACUGAUAGACUUGAAAACAAUCAACCUAGUACAUCAUCUACAUAUAGAUCUAAUCCUCAAUCACCUUAUUUUAAUAAUAGGGAUAGGAGUCAACAGCAACCGUCAACGGUAAAAGAAAAUAUUCAGGGACAGUUAUAUGAUACACAGCGGAACAUCCAACGCAAUCCUUUUCUUCAAGAUAACACACCGCAAACAGAAAAUCAGGUUAGAGAAAUUGAUGUACAAAAUAAAAACAAUCGAUCGGUUUCGGAAUCUAAUAGAUUGCAGUCAAAUUUUAAUGAAUCUUAUGCGGAAGUUCGUUCUAAUUUAAAACAAAAUAAUGAUACCGGUGCUUAUAAUAGAGACGUUUAUGGUGAGCUAAAUGUGAGACAAAACAGAGCACCUGGAAUAAAUGAUCGAUUACUAAAUGAAAGACGCACACCAGAUGCCUAUGGUCGAUCGACAUCUAUGGCUGCCUAUAACAGAGAAAAGGUCGGAGAUUAUGAAGAUGUGUAUGGAGUGUAUGCUACAGAAAAUGAAUAUGGUAAAACUUAUAAUAAGUCACCAUCAAAUACCUCUCAAAUAAAUGCAAUCGGUUCAUAUACCACAAAACAAUCGCAAGAAUUUUCCGGAAAUGAGAAGACAUUUAGUGGACCAUCAGUUUUAAGAAGGAAAAAGAUGCAAUCUUCUGGGAUACAACCACCAAUGCCUAGACCGCACAGCGCAGAUUUUCUUGAAUAUGAGUCUAAAAAUGAAAUGCUUAAUAAAACCAUGCCAGCACGUACGACAUGUGAGCAGAUUAAACAGCCUCAAAGACCUAAGUCAAGUCUUGACAUAAAUUCAUAUUAUGAUCCUAGUUCAGAUAGAUAUUACUCCGAAGAAAGUUAUGCUGAAAAAAUGCGACAGUCAGCUCAAUAUCUACAACAAGGCUUAGGUUCACGAAAUAUUCAAAUUCCGCUUGCAAAAUAUGCUAGUGGAUUAGCUGAAAAGCAAUUAAAUUCACCAUAUUCACAGAUUACUAAUAAUAACUAUGAAACUGAAUUUGGUGCAAAUAAGAUAGCUCGAGACAAUGUAAGUUAUAAUUCUAAACAUAGCGAUCUCGAAGGUUUGAAUUCUAACUGGACUUUAAAAGAAAAGGGCAUUGAAAAUCAAAAAGAUUACGUAAACAGAAGUGGGAGUGUAAUGAGCGAUGGUUCGAAUGUUAGUGGAUAUACCAAAGACAUAAGUAAAUUUGAUGUAUCUUCCGAAGGUUUUAUUCGAUCAGCAAGUGCAAGAUUACCAUCAACAACCACAGAGAAGGAUGGCGAUAAAAAAACCCAGCAGCGUGAAGAAUCAAUGAAACGUUUAUUAGAAUGGAAACAGAGAAUGCUCCAAUCUCCUUUAACAAGAAAAAGUACACCAGCCACUAUAUCUCUUGCUAGAUCUUUGAAUCAAAGUCGCCAGUCUUUGAGAUCAGAUCAGUACAAAUCUAAAAAUUAUACAAAUGCAUCCUAUAAUAGCUACUCUUCAGAUGAUGAAGCUUCUAUGACAAUGUCAGGCACGAAUAUAAACUUAAGCUCAGAAAAUAAUACAACGAAUCAACAACCACUAUCAAAGAAAAGUUUUCUCGGUAGUAAUACAUCAAUUGGAAGGAAUAACCGAGAUGCCAAUAUACCAGUACGUGCAGUGAGUCCUAGAGUAAGAUGGGUAGAAGAAAAAACAUCAAAUGAACAUUUCAGCUCCCAACCGAUGUCAACUUCUCAGCAAAAUUUGCAUACGCUGACAUCUACAGAGGAUAUAUGGGCGACAGCUCGAUCGCCAUCACGAACCUCACAACAACCUAUUCGAGCUGUUAGCCCAAGGGUCCGAAGGAACACUGAAGCAGAUGCUUUGCAAAGGGAAGUUCAAAGAUCAGGCCAUGGUGAAUUAUUGAGUGAUGUACCUACUGCUGGAGAGCUUCUAGGUCGAACUCAUGAGGAACUUGUAUUGCUCCUCAUACAGUUAAGACGACGGCAUGCAGCUACUCACCGUGCUAUUGAGAAUUGCUGUUCACAAAUAAAUAGUAUAGAGGACUGUCUCAGUUCCUUAAAAUCACUAGAACGAGAAGAAAGUUUACAACGAUUGGAGCAACUAAAGAUGCAACUGAUGGAAUUAGAACAUCAGUAUGAGAAAAGCAAACCGUUGGUCCAAUUAGUUGAUAAUAUGGUAAAAUUGGGUUCUUUAUACAACCGACCAGGGUCCACAGUGGAACGUUUGGAAAGAAAUCAGAGAUUGAGGCAGAAAGUACUCGCUGAACACGCGUUAGAACAACAAAGGUGGCUUGAAAGUGCAGCAGCAGGAAAGCCUUUAGAAACCGAAGCGGCUAGAGCUAGAGUAGCGGAAUUGUGGGCGUUGGAGCAAGAGUUGGCAGACGAGGCUGCCAUAUUACAGGGACUCAGGACUGACAAGGACGCUAUUGAGUCACUACUUACUGGAGUACGCGGUAAACUCGACAGUGUUCCUCGCAGUGAAUUGUUAUCUCGUAACGGGAUGGGUAUGGGUGCAGGGGUUGCAGGUGGUAUUGUUGGUCCGGGAGGACAAAGGAUCCCGCAGAACUUCCCAAGCGGCUCGGCGCUCGAAGCGGAGCUAGCGCGGGUGCACGCCAUGCUGGCGCACAAUUCUAAGGUUUAUAAGAAACUAGAACAAACGGUAGCAGACAACGCCCGGUUGGAACGCGAGCUCCAGCAGCUACGGCGGGCGCUGCAGGCUCGUCGCGCUGCCGCUCCCGCUCAUCCCACUGCUGUGCUCGAAGAUGAGGUGUCGCGCGUGCAGCAGCUGGUAUCAGCAUUACAGCGGCAGCGACAGGAGCUGAGCCGCGCAGUACGGCAUCUGACGCAGCAGUCGCAAGCGCUGCAGACCACCCAUCACUCUAUACCUGGCAAACGCCGUCCAAUUUCAUCCUGGCAAGAAACCAACUUAGACACAGGACACACAAUCGACCACGGCCAGUCAGAUUAUGACUACGACAUAUCGAGAGACCUGUUACCACCAGGGCACUAUGAACCUUCUAAUAUGGAUACGCCAUUAUAUGUCGAUACUCGAACUUCAGCACCCGAUAUCGCAUCACCGUUAACUAGUGAGGAAAUGCAACACAGUGGGUUUGGAAACCUUUCAAACGUUGAGAAACAAGAAAUAAAAACAGUCCGGAUAGUAAAGAGGGAAAGCGAAAGACGUCAGAGAGACAGAGAGCGAUCACUUCAACCGAUGUCCGAUUGGCCAUCUAAUAACAUUUCAGCAAACCUAGACCAGUUCAUAGAAGAAGAACUAGUCCAGUCAUUGAAUUAUUCAAGAGCAUCAUCCGUGCCUCGGACAGAUUUUAGCAAAUUCGAAGAGUACUAUUCAAAACCGCAAUCUGAACAACAAAAUUAUAUUCGUUUGAAUGAGAAAAAUAUGGAGUUAAGUCCAAAAUAUCCAUCAAGUCCGUCAUUGUCGAACUAUGAUUAUUCUAGAGACAUAUCAUCUCUUAGUAGCAGUUACCAUAAAAGUUACGAUAAGUCUGGAUAUGAUCGCACUAUGUCCCUUUCAACUCAGUAUCUAAAUAGUCCUACAGAUAGUUCUAGAACGUUGACUAACGAUCCAAUAUCGAAAACGAGUAGUAUAGUUAGUUUGACCAGGUCCCAUAUGGAGCUGUCUCCAAUUUUCAAAAGUGAGGCAGCGAAGCAGAUUAUAACGGAGAUGUCAGGGGAGCCCAAAAAUGGGUCAUUGCAUAGGAGGCAAGUUCCGAAGGAGAAAAGAAGGCACAAUACAGCGCCACACCAUUUAAGUGCAAAAACUUUGAACGAAAUGCCUAAGGAUGGAUAUAAUCAAGAUAAGCUGGGCCGGUCGCUGGACGACACGGACAUGGAGCGCGCGCUGCGCGGCGUGGGCGGCGUGCGCGGCGUGCGCGGCGUGCGCGCGGCGCCGGCGCCGGACGUGGUGCGCUCGGCGCUGCCGCCGCCCGCGCACCGCCUCGCCGACAACGCCAUCGACCAGCUGCUCGCCGCGCCGCAGAAAAUACUCAUACCGGAACGGUAUAUACCUGAAAAGCCACCUGAGCUUUCACCUGAGGAACAACAGAAACGACAAGAAAAAGUUGAAUCAAUAAAAAAGAUGCUCACCAGUUCUUCUGCAGAUACUAACAAGAGCCCGGACACUGAAGAGAAGCGGCAGCGGGAACAUUUACUCCAGAUGAACCAGAUUCUUGCCAAGCAGGUCACCGAGAUGAGCAAAAUAAUAGCUGGAACCAACACUGAUCAAGGGCCAUCCAGCGCAAACAACUGAUUUCAUAUACCAAAUUAUAUCCCACAUAAACCCUGUUGAAAGCACCAUAUCACGCUCGAUCACCUUUUAACCUAUUGACAUCCUUAGAAACAUUUAUAAUUACACUUUUCCCUACCUUGAAGUAGUUACUACCUUAUCCAGUGGCCCUUAGAAGAUAUGCUGUCAAGUAUGUCGCGGCAUGGUUUCGUUUUAUUGCAUUUUGUUUGAAAGCGUUGGAAGAGCUGCCACUACACGACAAAAACGACGACUUGGAUGAUCGUUCGCCUGACGUCGAGCUGCCUAUAUAUCAGCAGAGGGACAACUUCUUUACAUAGAAUAUUUGUGCACGCUUAAUGUAUUUCAAAAUUAACCUGGUUUAGACCUAUAGACCUUCUUUGGAGGUAUUACGAGGUUAAAAAUUAGGCCAUGAUUACUAUUAGAAUUGAUAUCACGUGUGAGACAUAGUAUAAUAUCAACCUACUUAUCAACUCGUGGCUUAAUGAUCUAGUUAUAUUAUAAUAAUUAUGGUACUUAUCAAACUAUUGCGAACUGUAAUGAAAAAUCGUUAAUCUAAAUUAAGAAAACAAUGUAAUCAAAUUCUGUGGGCUUUAAUAAAUUUUAAGCUAUUAAAGUAGAAUGUUCAAUUAUUAGUAUAGCAUGUAUUCAAGUGUAUUAAACUUUUUAAAUUAUAAUCUUUUAUAAAAAAUAAAUGGAUAGGAGAUCAGUGCUCGGAUUAUGGUACGUGCCAUGAUAAUAAUUACAAUCUGAACAAACCAAAUCUAUGACUGAAAUCAGGUGCUCACAAUGAUCGCCACUCUAAUGAUAUUGGUUAAACUAAACCUUAUACCAUUGGUUUAAGGAUUAGUUUGAUCAAGUGUAAUAUGAUUUUUAAUUCUUGCAAGACCACUAUUCGGAGACUUUUCGAGAAGGUUCCGAAUUGGUGUGUCCGAUUAACUUAUUCUGAAAACAGAAUAAAUUUAAGCCAAUGAUUUUAGUUGAGCAUUUUCAGUCUGUAUCAUCUUUUUUGAAAAUGUAAACAGUGAUGUUAAUAAAAAACCAGGUGGCGUUAUAAAUACAAUUGUUUAUAUAAUAUUAACGUGAUUGUACACGUUGUAUUUAAACAAAGGUUUGGUUACUGGGUUCAUUGCAAAUGUUAAUGUAGAACAAUUAGACCUAGUUAUGAUUAUUGAUAGGGACGUCUUAAAAAUGGACGAACUCGAUAUGAUGAUAGGGGUUUUUCUAGAACAGUUGACUACUACUGAAACCAGAUGAGACUUAAUGCUUAGGGUAGGUAAUUAUCGCCAGUAAAUAUUACAUUAGGCUUUUUAAUUUCCGUGUGAGAGUGACUAAUUGACUAUAUAAUUAAUUAUACGAACUGCAUCCAAAUAUCUGCUGUGUUGAUAGUACAAAAACUAUCUAUGUAAUUUUAUAUUAGUUCAUUUUGUAACUUAUUGCAAGAUAUUAAAACUUGCUUCCAAUUGAAAAGAAUAUUGCUAAACUUUUAUUAGCAAACUUUUGUUCGAUUUUAUUUGUUUCGUUGUUAUGUUAAUCUUUUGUGAGGGAUUUUUCAUUAUUUAUGAGAAUAUCAGUAAAAUCUAUUGUUUUCAGUAUUUGUGGUUAUUAUUAUUUAUCACUGCACUACAAUAUAAAUAAGUAAAUGUAAUUGUCAUAGGAGUAGCAUUUCAGAAUUAAAGUGACUUUCCACUUGGAAAAUAAGACGAUUUGCUUUGCACAUAUCCAUUGUAAUAUCAUUAUAUAUUUAGUGAUAUACAGCUAUUGCUUCGACUGCAACUGACAGAAAUGGAUCAUUUAUUUUAAUAUUUGCUCAAUUUUGACAACAUUCCUUCAUUAGUUGCUUUACAUUUCAUAGAAGUAUAUUGUAAAGUGUAUCACUUAGAGAUUGUUCAAUACAUAAAGUUGUUUUAGACCUCUUUUAUACGUAAUAGGUAAUUAUAUAAUUUCUUUUCCGUACUACUUAAAGUCUUCUAUGUAAAAGGCCUUGAAUUGUUAUUGUAGAGUUAAGAUAACAUAUAGCGAAUUGUAAUUAGAAAAUUAUUUAAGACGAUGCCAUGUUAUACAAUUAUUAUAAACUAAUCCAUUAUUAGCAAAAGCACAUUAUUAUAGGAAAAUAUUAGGUAAAAACAUAUAUAAGUUAAAGGAAACGAAAACAAAUGCGUUUUAGUAUUAUUUCGUUUAUAUUGUUUUAUGUAUAAUAUCUUGCUGUAUAUAAUAUUGUUUUAUGAUUUGAAUAAAUUUUCUUUUUUAUUAAUUGU
Galleria mellonella (greater wax moth) is the source of this 8770-nucleotide RNA transcript. RefSeq lists it as uncharacterized. The transcript is spliced from 24 exons. NCBI's taxonomy places the organism in Eukaryota, Metazoa, Arthropoda, Insecta, Lepidoptera, Pyralidae. The record is from RefSeq and is a predicted model, not a curated record.